RNAcentral lists this ribosomal RNA (506 nucleotides) under uncultured bacterium. RNAcentral describes it as "partial 16S ribosomal RNA". It matches the Rfam family "Bacterial small subunit ribosomal RNA", at positions 356 to 873 of the family's 1533-position model. The record is from RNAcentral.
GGGGAAUAUUGGACAAUGGGCGCAAGCCUGAUCCAGCAAUGCCGCGUGAGUGAKGAAGGCCUUAGGGUUGUAAAGCUCUUUCGGCGGGGAMGAUGAUGACGGUACCCGGAGAAGAAGCCCCGGCUAACUUCGUGCCAGCAGCCGCGGUAAUACGAAGGGGGCKAGCGUUGUUCGGAUUUACUGGGCGUAAAGGGCGCGCAGGCGGSUWUUUUUGUCAGGSGUGAAAWCCCCGGGCUYAACUUGGGAACUGCSCUUGAKACKGGAUGGYUAGAGAUCGGGAGAGGAGAGUGGAAUUCCCAGUGUAGAGGUGAAAUUCGUAGAUAUUGGGAAGAACACCGGUGGCGAAGGCGGCUCUCUGGACCGAUACUGACGCUGAGGCGCGAAAGCGUGGGGAGCAAACAGGAUUAGAUACCCUGGUAGUCCACGCCGUAAACGAUGUGUGCUAGACGUUGGGGAGCCUAGCUCUUCGGUGUCGCAGCUAACGCSUUAARCACACCSCCCCGGGG